AUACGGAGGGUGCGAGCGUUACUCGGAAUCACUGGGCGUAAAGCGCGCGCAGGCGGCUAUUUAAGCUGGAUGUGAAAGCCUACGGCUCAACCGUAGAACUGCAUCCAAAACUAUUUAGCUAGGGUGUGGGAGAGGAAGAUGGAAUUAGUUGUGUAGGGGUAAAAUCCGUAGAGAUAACUAGGAAUACCAAAAGCGAAGGCAAUCUUCUGGAACACUACUGACGCUGAGGCGCGAAAGCGUGGGGAGCAAACGGGAUUAGAUACCCUAGUAGUCC
RNAcentral lists this ribosomal RNA (274 nucleotides) under uncultured bacterium. Its description in RNAcentral is "partial 16S ribosomal RNA". It matches the Rfam family "Bacterial small subunit ribosomal RNA", at positions 523 to 796 of the family's 1533-position model. The record is from RNAcentral.